This 1211-nucleotide long non-coding RNA is filed under the name Dermacentor andersoni. RNAcentral describes it as "uncharacterized LOC126535909". Lineage: Eukaryota; Metazoa; Arthropoda; Arachnida; Ixodida; Ixodidae. The record is from RNAcentral.
CAUGGGUUAUCUACAUCACAUUCUACAAUGCCCGUGUUUUGGGCUUCCUGCUCACCAAAAUCCUCAACCGUUUUGUGGGGAAAGCAUAUCUCAAAAUUGGUGGAUGGCCUACAAGAAUGAGGAUGGACCGCAAACGGCAGUUGGAAAACGGCUUUGUCUUGUACUUUGCAUGUAACAGAAUUAUGUUUCAUCGUAUAUACAUAUUACACUCCGAAGCUAUCACGUCUGCACAUUUUGUGUAAGUCUUACCUUAUGCAUUUUCUGACGCAAUUUACUUGUAAACAUUAAUUUAGUUCAAUAAGACACUUGCGCAUGGCAGAUGGCUUAGAGGAAUGAUUACAACGAAGGUGCAAUGGACACAGCAAGGCGACACGGGACAACCACGUAGGCGCACUAACAACUGAGUGUUUUAUUUCUUGACACAGGACUAAAUAGUUGGUGCCAAGGAUCAAAACAACAAGAAAAAACAGUGCUCUUAUCUGCAUCGCACAAUGAAAACACGAUACAAAACAGCUUCUAAGUGCCGCUCCCAAGAUACGCCAGUUCCUUUUUCGAUAGAGAAACUGAGGGUUCACUGAUGCAAGCAUCACCACGUUUCUUGAUCACAAGCGCUUCCAAUAUCUCCUGCUUGUCACUGCGGCGACGAGGAGACUAUAGAACACGUACUUUGCCACUGUCCUCGAUACCGCGCGCACUGGCUGUCACUAGCGACCACAUUGGCACGCCUUGGCGACAGGUGACUUUCAGAACAGUCAAUCUCGAAAUGCCGACAUAAACUGUCGUACUGAAAGUCGGUUAAGGCUUUUUGACCUUUUUACGUGGCAGUGGCCUAUUAGAAAGACUGUAAUGAUCCCAUUCCAUCCCUUCUCAUUCUUUGUUUCACGCUUUUAUUUUUGUCACGCUCUUCUUUCUGACUUUGCUUCCCCUUUCCCUUCUCCUAGUGCAGGGUAGCAAACCAGAGGUUAACUCUGGUUAACCUCCCUACCUUUCUCUCAUUUGCAUCUCUCUCUCUGCUCUGUUCAAAACACAGGUUCUAUUAAAAUCAGGAAUACGCUUGUGAGCCUUACAAUGAGCACCAAUGUGAUCGGAGAGCUGGUUUUCCAUCUUAUAUCGAUGCUCAUACAAUCUGUCAUUUAGGCAUCUGCCCGUUUGGCCGACAUAUGAUGAACUACACGACAAAGGAACCGAAUAAACUACUUUCUUUACACAUC